AUGAAACGCGCCCAAGAAUCAGCUCCCCCGCCUGUGAAAAUCCCUACGCUCGAUUACUUCAAACCCCCGACCCGGUUUCACACCGCCGAGGUCUUCGCCGUCAGUGAAUCUGGAAGCAAGGCGGUGCUCUCUACUGCCAAGUUUCUUCUAGGGGUUUCAUACUCUCUUGAUGGUGAACCGCUGAGACGCUGCUCCGGCUUCUGGUUCGAUUGGGAUGAGGACAAGAAAACCGGCCUUGUUUUGACAACUGCGUGGCUGAUCGCACAAAGGAUUCUCCUGACAGCGGCUGGUCAGGCCGCGAAGAGUAUGCUCCGCAUGCUGAUGUGA
This 327-nucleotide ribosomal RNA is filed under the name Triticum aestivum (bread wheat). Its description in RNAcentral is "partial small subunit ribosomal RNA". Lineage: Eukaryota; Viridiplantae; Streptophyta; Magnoliopsida; Poales; Poaceae. The record is from RNAcentral.